RNAcentral lists this unclassified non-coding RNA (430 nucleotides) under soil metagenome. RNAcentral describes it as "partial contains 5.8S ribosomal RNA, internal transcribed spacer 2, and large subunit ribosomal RNA". The stretch from base 1 to 120 matches the Rfam family "5.8S ribosomal RNA", at positions 35 to 154 of the family's 154-position model. The record is from RNAcentral.
GAUGAAGAACGCAGCGAAAUGCGAUACGUAAUGUGAAUUGCAGAAUUCAGUGAAUCAUCGAAUCUUUGAACGCAUAUUGCGCUCUCUGGUAUUCCGGAGAGCAUGCUUGUUUGAGUAUCAGUAAACACCUCAACUCCCUUUUCUUUUUUGAAAUUGGAGCUGGACUUGAGUGAUCCCAACGCUUUCUUCCAAGAAAGUGGCGGGUUGCUUGAAAUGCAGGUGCAGCUAAACUUUUCUCUGAGCUAUAAGCAUAUCUAUUUAGUCUGCCUAAAAAACAGAUUAUUACCUUUGCUGCAGCUAACAUAAAGGAGACUAGUUCUUGUGCUGACUGAUGCAGGAUUCACAGAGACAGCUUCGGCUGACUUUGUAAACUCGAUCUCAAAUCAAGUAAGACUACCCGCUGAACUUAAGCAUAUCAAUAAGCGGAGGA